AUCUGGGCGGCGGAAUUCAGGAUGGCGUGCGUGUCUUCGCGGGCGCGUUCGUCGUUUGAUAUUUCCGUCGUCGACGCAGACGUCGCGACCUGUUCGCGGUCGGUCCUUGCUUCGGAGGGGUCGCGUUCGAGCUCGUUGUGGGCGCGUUUCGGCGCGUCUAACGGCGAAGGCGCGUAUCCCUGGCUGGCCGUCGGACAGUACGUUCAGCGGUGUCCGGUGUCGUCGUAUUCGUACGCGCGCGCACCGGUACCGGUCGGCGACGAAUUCUUCGGGCCUCUUUCCGACCCGUCUUGAAACACGGACCAAGGAGUCUAACAUGCGCGCGAGUCGCGGGGUGUCGAGCGUACUUCGGUGCGCUCGUUACAUUUACGAAACCCGUACAUGUUGAAGGCGUAAUGAAAGUGAAUGGGGAAGAUGGUGUUUCCGAGUACACGUUCCGCAGUCCUCCGAUACCGCGGCCGGACACCCGCAUUCCCGGGGCGUCUCAACGGCCCGUCGCAAACGCGGAUCGUCGUCUCUCGGGGCGGCGGUCGGUCCGCGACGAACCGA
Molecule: ribosomal RNA, 549 nt
Filed under: Leucaspidini gen. UG4409 sp. ud4409
Lineage: Eukaryota; Metazoa; Arthropoda; Insecta; Hemiptera; Diaspididae
Description: partial 28S ribosomal RNA
Source: RNAcentral